CCUACGGGAGGCAGCAGUGAGGAAUAUUGCACAAUGGCGGAGACGCUGAUGCAGCGAAGUCGCGUGAGUGAAGACGUAUUUCGGUGUGUAAAACUCUAUCAGCAGGGGAGAGAAUGACGGUACCUGAGUCUCAAGCCGCGUCUAACUACGUACCAGAAGCCGCGGUAAUACGUAGGGUGCAAGCGUUAUCCGGAUUUACUGGGGGUAAAGGGAGCGUAGACGGCGAAGCAAGUCUGCAGGGAAAGCCCGCGGCUCAACCGCGGAACUGCUUUGGAAACUUUUUUGCUGGAGUGCAGGAGAGGUAAGCGGAAUGCGUAGUGUAGCGGUGAAAUGCGUAGAUAUUAGGAGGAACACCAGUGGCGAAGGCGGCAUACUGGACGGCAACUGACGUUGAGGCUCGAAAGCGUGGGGAGCAAACAGGAUUAGAUACCCGAGUAGUC
Molecule: ribosomal RNA, 440 nt
Filed under: uncultured bacterium
Lineage: Bacteria
Description: partial 16S ribosomal RNA
Rfam family: Bacterial small subunit ribosomal RNA
Source: RNAcentral